UAGCCUGCACCUCGCGUAAUUUCCGCUUGCGUGGGGCAAAGCGUGCGUAAAAUGUAGCGGCGCGUGUCAAACGCACGUGUUCGUUUGGCGUGGUGAUGCGAGUUUGGAGAGUCGAGGCGAACUGAAUCGUGCGCCUUGCGUUGCUCGCCUUUUCCCGUUAGCUAUGCCCGGGCACUUUUCCGCUGAAAUAAAUGCUUGAUGGCUGAGCUGUGUCAUUGCAACUAAAGAGGCUUGGGGACGUCCACUUUAAAGUUCAGAUUCCUGUGCCGAAGGACUUCCCACCCUCCAAUACCGGCCUGCAGCUUUUCCCGCAUUGCUAUGAGCUCACCAUGUGACCACAUCGUUGCAGUAGCGUAACACACGGCACACUACGGACAGCUGGGCAUCAACACAGUUCCACCUCUUCUGUACUGAAAGUGAUGAGACUUGUCACGACUCACAACAAUGAUGGAAGACCUUGGGGCUGAAUUGAGAGGGUGAGAUCUUGAAAAUGAGAGCGCUCCGGUUCAGAACGAGCGAGGUAAAGCCAAACAAGUAUCGGUAGCACAAUCCAUACAACGCCGUCAAAUC
Molecule: long non-coding RNA, 570 nt
Organism: Sinocyclocheilus anshuiensis
Lineage: Eukaryota; Metazoa; Chordata; Actinopteri; Cypriniformes; Cyprinidae
Exons: 4
Source: RefSeq, a predicted model, not a curated record